UGGGGAAUUUUGGACAAUGGGCGCAAGCCUGAUCCAGCCAUGCCGCGUGCAGGAAGAAGGCCUUCGGGUUGUAAACUGCUUUUGUCAGGGAAGAAAUCCUUUGGGUUAAUACCUCGAAGGGAUGACGGUACCUGAAGAAUAAGCACCGGCUAACUACGUGCCAGCAGCCGCGGUAAUACGUAGGGUGCGAGCGUUAAUCGGAAUUACUGGGCGUAAAGCGUGCGCAGGCGGCUUUGCAAGACAGAUGUGAAAUCCCCGGGCUCAAACCUGGGAACUGCAUUUGUGACUGCAAGGCUAGAGCGCGGCAGAGGGAGAUGGAAUUCCGCGUGUANCAGUGAAAUGCGUAGAUAUGCGGAGGAACACCGAUGGCGAAGGCAAUCUCCUGGGCCUGCACUGACGCUCAUGCACGAAAAGCGUGGGGAGCAAAACAGGAUUAGAUACCCUGGUAGUCCACGCCCUAAACGAUGUCAACUGGUUGUUGGACGGCUUGCUGUUCAGUAACGAAGCUAACGCGUGAAGUUGACCGCCUGGGGAGUACGGCCGCAAGGUUGAAACUCAAAUGAAUUGACGGGGUCAUAGCUGUUUCCU
This 588-nucleotide ribosomal RNA is filed under the name uncultured bacterium. RNAcentral describes it as "partial 16S ribosomal RNA". It matches the Rfam family "Bacterial small subunit ribosomal RNA", at positions 355 to 1375 of the family's 1533-position model. The record is from RNAcentral.